Long non-coding RNA from Herpailurus yagouaroundi (jaguarundi), 327 nucleotides. RefSeq lists it as uncharacterized. The record is from RefSeq and is a predicted model, not a curated record. NCBI's taxonomy places the organism in Eukaryota, Metazoa, Chordata, Mammalia, Carnivora, Felidae. The transcript has 3 exons.
UGCACAAAGCGGCUUGUGUAAACACCGUGCUGUAUGCCGAACGCGUGCCUUCCUUCUGGGAGUCAGGCAGUGGGGCCGUCGGGACCAGCCCCCAACCAAACCGCUGGGCCCCAAGGCUCCGCGAGCUUCCGCGUGGAAAGGACGGCCCACGUGCCGGCCCAGCUCCCUGCCCCCAAGGGGGCCUGCUGGGAGAUCGCACCUGGUUUCCUCAGGGCCUCCCGCCUUUUCCCUUUACCGAUUCGCUCUGUAUCCUUUCACUGUGAUAAAUAUGGCCGUGGGCAGGCCCCCGUGCGGAGUCGGCUCUGGAAGCCCGCCGGGUGGUCUCGG